This is a long non-coding RNA of Salvia miltiorrhiza (redroot sage), 2630 nucleotides long. RefSeq lists it as uncharacterized. The transcript is spliced from 2 exons. The record is from RefSeq and is a predicted model, not a curated record. NCBI's taxonomy places the organism in Eukaryota, Viridiplantae, Streptophyta, Magnoliopsida, Lamiales, Lamiaceae.
UCUAGGUAAAUUCUUCAUUACUGAGGUAAUCAAACUUUUCAACAAAUUGGUGUCCUAGGCCUGAAAUUUGGACUAUAUCACCCACUGAAUCUUAAUAAUGCAGCUAGCCAAAGUCAAAUAAUCUUCACCUAUUGCAUCGAACAUAAGGACUGCGAUUUAGUCAUCAACUAGCACAUAUUUGUACUCUCUCUUCUAAAAUAUCUGUUUGGUUAGAAAAGGUAUUGAAGACAUAUAUCUGAAGAAACUUUUGAACCCGGACAGGGUUUUUCACUUCCACAUUGGCGAAUUACAACUAGAUCACUAGCAAAAAAGAUAAACAGAACCAAAAAACCAACUAUCAAAGCCACAUAGCAACAAUCAAUAAAAAUACAAUCUUUACUCAUAUUUGCUUUCUCUGAGCUCCUGAAUAUCCUCCUUAGUCAAUGGCUCCCCAAGAACUCCUAUCUGGAGCUCACAUGCUUUGGCCCAGAACCGGAAAGAUAUGGUCCGAGCGCCUGUACCGGCUUCACGCCCUUUUAUGAGGCGACGACAGCUUAAACGAAUCGAACUCCGGCAGCUUCUUCUUGCUGGGAGGCAGCGGCCUCUGCCCCAGACUCGGCUUCGCCAUCGUUUCUAAUUAUUUCCUUGCAUUUUUAUUCAAUUUUCCUUGUGGGAUUUCUUUGAAAGGUGAUUGUGAUGGAAUCCCGGCAUCAAAUAAGCAGCUAUUUUCAUCUGGGCUUUUUGUCAAGCACUUGGUGGACUUCUUCUACGCGAUCUUUUCUUCACUAGAAAUAGGAGCUUUUGCUUCGUCUACGGCGUCGUUUUUCUUGAAAUCCGAUGUGUGUGAAAGAUUUAAGCUUUUUGUCAAGCGAGGAGUGGGGUUUUGAAAGCGGGUUUGGAGAUGUGAAGGGAGGCCGUCCUCGUUGAAACCGGGGCAGUUGACGGCGGCGACCUGCUCGAGAACGGUGGCGUCCAUCACCUGAGAUAAGAGCUCCUCCACCGCCUUGUCAUCGUCGCUAUCUGUGAAGAAAUCAGCCAUUGUUGGAGGAAGCGAGAAUGAAGAGCAAAUUUCGGCAGUUGCCGGUGGGGCUAGGGGCGGACCUGCAGUGGGAGAAAAGUAUUCGUCUCCUUCUCCAUUAUCAUGUUCUUAAAUUUUUAGUUGAGGCUAUAAUAAUAAAUUUUAGAAAUAUUUGAGUGGGGGUUAUAGAAAGUUUGAGGUUGUACGCAGUGUUCUUUGAAAAUCAAUUUUGAAAAUUUAUUAAUAUUGUAAAUUAUUAAAUGGGGCUAUGAGGGUAUAUUAGUACAAUCAUAAUUAUUUUUAUUAUUUUAUAAAAUAAGAGGCUAUAGUGAGAAAAUUGGGGGCUAUGUUUAAAAUUACCCUUUAAGGAAAUAAGUAAGCCCUUUUCUAAUUAAAUCCAGCCCAACAUUUCGGCCCACCUUAAGGAAUAAAUUCAGCCCAAGCAAGAGGCCCACCUCUUCUUUUUUAGUCAGGAACGGCUGAAAGGAUCAACACUCUCUUCUUCAUGCCAAAUUCGUCGCCGCCGCUGACUCUUUUAGCACCGGCGAACGGCCGCCUCCGCCACUCUGAAAUCCGGCGUUUCUUCUCUCAACUAUUGUCGCCAUUCCUUUCUCGCAUUCUCUCCCUGUUUCGCGAUCUCUCUCUCGAAAGUCGCCGCCUCUGAAAGCCGCGCCGCCGGCGACGGCCAUUUGGCGUCCUCAUCUUCCCUGCCGUCACGCCCUUCGUCCGUCCUCUUUUCUCGUGCUUUUCCUCCCGAUCCCCAAAUUUCAGAAAACACACAUUGUCAAUUGGAAACGAAACGGAGCCCUAAUCCUCUUCUCAAACUCAAUCUGCUACUUCGCCCAUCCGGUUCCGGCGAGGCCGCCGCUGUUAAGCAUUACAGCACCGCCGCGCUUUCCUUGGCCGGAAAUGGCCUCUCCGUUGAGCCCUAGCUCUACCUCCUGCCGACGCGGUUAGCCCUAGCCUCCCUCUCUUUUCCUCUCGGUUUAGGCGGAGUAACCUCUUCUGAGCCCGACGACCUCCGCCUUCUCUUCCUCGAGGUUGAGCCCGGGGCUCACCUCGGCUUCGGCAAAAGUCGUGGGCACUGUACGGCUCCGGCGAGGGGUACUCUCCCAUCUCUCCGAGCCUUCGAUGAGCGGCAGAACAGGGUCGUCGCGCCCUCUUCUUGAAGUCCAGGGGAGCAGGGCAGUCAGCCCCCUCCUUUUCCUCGCGGUUAGCGUCGACAUCAAACCGGCAUCCGUCCCCGUUCAAUGAAAAAUCAGACGAUGGGGACUCUUCAAGUUGGCAGAGCAGCAGCUUAAUGAAUUCUCCUCACUUUGGUGGCUGAAGAAACAGAGAAUGAAGGCAAGGAGUGUUGGCUAGUAGCCUUAAAGAAUCGAAGAUGGUGGAGGUGGUGGGUGACUGAGGAGAUGGCUGUCAUAGGGUGGCUGAUUGACACCUAUGUGUACCUUGGCAUGGUUAAAGGGAUGGGAGAGUGGCUUGAAGGCUGCUGUUGCAGCUAUUCUGCACACACAUACCACGUCCCCUUUCUUUCCCUUUUUUUGGUUUGCUUUCUUGAUGUAGUAGGUAGGAAAUAGGGAUGAAGGGAAUAGUAAGUUGUGAUGUGAUGAAUAAAAUCCUUCAGUGUUGGUCA